This 607-nucleotide long non-coding RNA is filed under the name Nicotiana benthamiana. Its description in RNAcentral is "long non-coding RNA (NBEN_LNC042185)". The record is from RNAcentral. Lineage: Eukaryota; Viridiplantae; Streptophyta; Magnoliopsida; Solanales; Solanaceae.
CCUAAUAGAUGUCGGUGUAACACUACAACCCUCCGACAUUCGCCGCCGGCCGGAAAUCGCCUCCACCGGUGGCGAUGCUUUGAUGGCCCCCAAAAUUACACCACCCCAUCUCCUUGACCUCGUCUUUCCAUUUCUGUAACUGGCAUCCCUCGAAUAUUGGCCAGCGUCGUCGAAUGUUCCUUUGAAUUGACGACUACUCCGCCACCCACGGCGGCUCUGGUGUCAAUCUCCUCCAAACUAUCACCCUAUAUUCUCCUAACCUCUCUCAUCCUAAAUCUGUAAGUCAUAACCCUCGAAUGUUAGCUAUGCUCCUCGAAUUUCAAUUUUAAAACCAUGUCAAAAUCCCACCAUCUUCCAAACCCUUCAAAAAUUGUACUCUAUGGUCUCAUCAUCACCUUCAUCUCGAUUUCCAAACAAAAACCCAUCAAAUACAAGUGAAAUCCCAUAAUUUUUAGAUCUAGGGUUUGUGUUAGGAGAAGUCCGCCUUGCCGAGAUUUUCAUGUGUUCGAUUGAUAUUCAAGUUAUAUAUGUGUUCAUUUUGGCAAAAUGAAAAUAUAAUAUUAGCUGGAGAUCAACCCCAAAGUCAAUUCAAGUUGCGACUAAAUCG